Molecule: ribosomal RNA, 686 nt
Filed under: uncultured organism
Description: SSU rRNA
Rfam family: Bacterial small subunit ribosomal RNA
Source: RNAcentral
GACGAACGCUGGCGGCGUGCUUAACACAUGCAAGUCGAACGAAGAGCGAUGGAAGCUUGCUUCUAUCAAUCUUAGUGGCGAACGGGUGAGUAACGCGUAAUCAACCUGCCCUUCAGAGGGGGACAACAGUUGGAAACGAUUGCUAAUACCGCAUACGAUCUAACCUCGGCAUCGAGGAUAGAUGAAAGGUGGCCUCUAUUUAUAAGCUAUCACUGAAGGAGGGGAUUGCGUCUGAUUAGCUAGUUGGAGGGGUAACGGCCCACCAAGGCGAUGAUCAGUAGCCGGUCUGAGAGGAUGAACGGCCACAUUGGGACUGAGACACGGCCCAGACUCCUACGGGAGGCAGCAGUGGGGAAUCUUCCGCAAUGGACGAAAGUCUGACGGAGCAACGCCGCGUGAGUGAUGACGGCCUUCGGGUUGUAAAGCUCUGUUAAUCGGGACGAAAGGCCUUCUUGCGAAUAGUUAAAAGGAUUGACGGUACCGGAAUAGAAAGCCACGGCUAACUACGUGCCAGCAGCCGCGGUAAUACGUAGGUGGCAAGCGUUGUCCGGAAUUAUUGGGCGUAAAGCGCGCGCAGGCGGAUUGGUCAGUCUGUCUUAAAAGUUCGGGGGCUUAACCCCGUGAUGGGAUGGAGACUGCCAAUCUAGAGUAUCUGAGAGGAAAGUGGAAUUCCUAGUGUAGCGGUG